UGCAAGUCGAACGCUGACUUUAAGGUAGCAAUAUUUUGAGGUUGGAGUGGCGCAAGGGUGUGUAACACGUGGGCAAUCUGCCGUGAAGUUUGGGAUAACUUGCUGAAAGGCGAGCUAAUACCGGAUGUGAAAUUUGGGGGGAAUCCUUCAAAUUUUAAAGUUGGGGACCGCAAGGCCUGACGCUAUACGAUGAGCCCGCGGCCUAUCAGCUAGUUGGUAAGGUAAAAGCUUACCAAGGCUAAGACGGGUAGCUGGUCUGAGAGGACGACCAGCCACACUGGAACUGAGACACGGUCCAGACACCUACGGGUGGCAGCAGUCGAGAAUUUUUCUCAAUGGGCGAAAGCCUGAAGGAGCGACGCCGCGUGGGGGAUGAAUGGCUUCGGCCCGUAAACCCCUGUCAUUCGGGAUCAAUGCUUGCUUCCAAACACGAAGUAAGUUGAUAGUACCGGAAGAGGAAGGGACGGCUAACUCUGUGCCAGCAGCCGCGGUAAUACAGAGGUCCCAAGCGUUGUUCGGAUUUACUGGGCGUAAAGGGUGCGUAGGUGGUUUGAUAAGUCUGAUGUGAAAUCUCCGGGCUUAACCCGGAAAUGGCAUUGGAUACUAUCGAGCUAGAGGGUUGGAGGGGGGACUGGAAUACUUGGUGUAGCAGUGAAAUGCGUAGAUAUCAAGUGGAACACCAGUGGCGAAGGCGAGUCCCUGGACAACUCCUGACACUGAGGCACGAAAGCUAGGGGAGCAAACAGGAUUAGAUACCCUGGUAGUCCUAGCUGUAAACGGUGCACGUUUGCUGU
RNAcentral lists this ribosomal RNA (794 nucleotides) under uncultured subdivision 3 bacterium. Its description in RNAcentral is "bacterial SSU rRNA". It matches the Rfam family "Bacterial small subunit ribosomal RNA", at positions 56 to 823 of the family's 1533-position model. The record is from RNAcentral.